CCUACGGGAGGCAGCAGUGGGGAAUAUUGGACAAUGGGGGCAACCCUGAUCCAGCAAUGCCGCGUGUGUGAAGAAGGCCUGCGGGUUGUAAAGCACUUUCAGUAGGAAAGAAAUCCUGAAGGUUAAUAAUCUUCAGGCUUGACAGUACUUACAGAAGAAGCCCCGGC
Molecule: ribosomal RNA, 167 nt
Filed under: uncultured bacterium
Lineage: Bacteria
Description: partial 16S ribosomal RNA
Rfam family: Bacterial small subunit ribosomal RNA
Source: RNAcentral